Molecule: long non-coding RNA, 355 nt
Filed under: Callithrix jacchus (white-tufted-ear marmoset)
Lineage: Eukaryota; Metazoa; Chordata; Mammalia; Primates; Cebidae
Description: lncRNA (ENSCJAG00000071732.1)
Source: RNAcentral
AGCACCGAAGAUCCCAGCAUGGCUGCAGUGCAGUGAGAAAGCAGAUAUGAUUGGUGACUUUCAUAAAAGCUAUUAGAUUGGUGGAAAUUAAAGCAUCACUGGAGUUUUCUAGAGAAAACUUGAGAAGUAAAAGUGGAAUACAUUUAAAGAAGGCCAGAUAACAUGGGAAGAAAUGCCAGAUAUUGGUGACGAGGGGAUGGAGACAGCAAACCACCUUGCCAUUUCCCAGCACAAGAGCUUUCUAAAGCCUUACGAAUUUCCUGAGUGAUAGAGGUAAGAGAAGCAAGCAUCUUUAGUCAUUCAUCAUAAGUCUCUUUCAACCAUACUGGGUUUAUGCUAAGGAAAUCACUCGGUG